UGGCUCAGGACGAACGCUGGCGGCGUGCCUAACACAUGCAAGUCGAACGGAGUCAAGAAGCUUGCUUUUGACUUAGUGGCGGACGGGUGAGUAACGCGUGAGUAACCUGCCUCUGAGAGGGGAAUAACGUUCUGAAAAGAACGCUAAUACCGCAUAACGUAUCGAAGCCGCAUGACUUUGAUACCAAAGAUUUUAUCGCUCGGAGAUGGACUCGCGUCCGAUUAGUUAGUUGGUGAGGUAACGGCUCACCAAGACCCGCGAUCGGUAGCCGGACUGAGAGGUUGAUCGGCCACAUUGGGACUGAGACACGGCCCAGACUCCUACGGGAGGCAGCAGUGGGGGAUAUUGCGCAAUGGGGGCAACCCUGAACCGCAGCAACGCCGCGUGAAGGAUGAAGGUUUUCGGAUUGUAAACUUCUUUUAUCAGGGACGAAAUCUGACGGUACCUGAUGAAUAAGCUCCGGCUAACUACGUGCCAGCCGCGGC
Molecule: ribosomal RNA, 485 nt
Filed under: uncultured bacterium
Lineage: Bacteria
Description: bacterial SSU rRNA
Rfam family: Bacterial small subunit ribosomal RNA
Source: RNAcentral